GCUACAGUGCUACUGGCCCAUAAUCAGGCAACUGCAGAGUCUUAGGGGGUUAUCUAAUGUAGUCUUGGGGUGGCUGGAUAGACUUCCCAAAGAAGGUGAUGCCGAAGCUGAGGUCGGAAAUUACGAAGAUCAGCUAUAAGAAUACAGGAAAAGGGAUCUUCAGAUAGUCAAUGAACUACAAAUUCUCCACUCCGUGAUUCGCCCCCUCCAUUCUGAGAUGCUGAAUCCAUGUGGUUGAUCCAUCUGCUUCACUUUCUGCUGCUGCCCAGACUAGUCCAUUUCAAGAAGCAAACUUGGAAAUCAUGUCUUAGAGAUCAAGGAGCCAAGAGAUGAGACAAGCCUGGGUUCCUAGGUGAUAGGGUGUGGCUGUGUCCCCACCCAAAUCUCGUCUUGAAUUGUAGCUCCCAUAAUCCCCACAUGUUGUGGAGGGACCCUGUGGAAGAUCUUUAAUAAAUGAAAUAAAUGUGACUGUAUGUCCUACAUCCCAUUCCUGUUGUCUUCCAUGUCUCCUCAGAGAUUGUGCCUGCAGCCUGGCCUGUUGCCCACAGCGGUCUACCUGCCACACUGGGAAAGAUCGAGCAGAGACAGAGAAGAAAAGGAGGCUCCAUUUUUCAGGCUGCUCUCCCGCAGGCUCAUGUUUUGUGUUCAUGCCAGGCAGAGAACACAAAAUGUUCCAAUAAAUAAGUAUCAAAGGUUAGUGGUGAAAAUGAAGGAGGAGGAGGCAUUGCGUGAAAAACUAAACAUGCAAAAUAUUACACACAAAGAGAACCAAAAUGCAGGUUCACUGGAAAUGAUAGACAAUAUGUUAAAACAAGAGGAGAGAAGAGAGCUGAAAUAAUCAAAUGGAAACACACAAUUUAGGGCUAAGAUCUUGUUGUGUUCAGCCACAAAUGAUGGCCAGCAGUGAGGAAUCUGUGUGUUCUCCACACUCUUCGCUCCUGGGAAGUCAACUCACAUGGACCAUGAUAUCAAUAUCUGCUCCUUCCCCUAAUAUCUGUUUGACCUUGGGUCAGUUACUUAAACUUCCUAAGCCUUAGUUUCUUUGUCUGGAAAAUAGGGAUAGUUAUACCUACCACACAACCACUUUGUAAUGAAUAUGUUGGAAAUUAUAUGCAAAUUGGCUUCCGUUGGUGUUUGGAACAUAGUAGGUUUUUAACUGGAAUAUAAUAGCUACCAUUAUCAGUAUCAUCAUAUUAAUUUAUAUUUCCAUCUUCAGCCCUUAACCCAGGAUCUUCAGUAAAUGUUGAAUUCUCAAAUUUGUUAAAUUCACUUGUCUAUACUAAUAUUUUACUCUAGGUUUCUUAGAAUAUUCUAGAUAAUAUUAUUAUGUAGAAUAUGUUAUGUAAGCUUCAUCUUAUCUGUAAAUAUAGUUUUA
Molecule: long non-coding RNA, 1375 nt
Filed under: Homo sapiens (human)
Lineage: Eukaryota; Metazoa; Chordata; Mammalia; Primates; Hominidae
Description: CCDC26 long non-coding RNA
Source: RNAcentral